This 4208-nucleotide long non-coding RNA is filed under the name Mus musculus (house mouse). Its description in RNAcentral is "long non-coding RNA chr2:175188501-175192709". Lineage: Eukaryota; Metazoa; Chordata; Mammalia; Rodentia; Muridae. The record is from RNAcentral.
GAUUUAAAGAUUUGUUUAUUUAUUAUGUUUAAGUCCACUAUAGCUGUCUUCAGAUACACCAGAAGAGGGCAUCAGAUGUCAUAAUGGGUGGUUGUGAGCCACAAUGUGGUUGCUGGGCUUUGAACUCAGGACCUUCAGAACAGCAGUCAAUGCUCUUAACCACCGAGUCAUCUCUCCAGCCCCCUUAGGAGGACUUAUAAUAAAGCAACAUUAAGGGAAAGCCCAAGAUCCGUUUACCAACUAAAGCAAGGACAUUGGAGCAUUCUUUAUACGUGAUGGCAAGAUUCCAGGAGACUAAGUUUCCGUGAACUUCUCGCCUCAGGACAGCACACAGGUUUUCGGGGCCUGUCGCGCUUCUCACUACUGGAUUGGAUGUAGCACAUAUGUACAUUGUUUAACAUUUUUAAAAUUCAGAUAUAUAAGUAAUGUCUAUUUGCCAUAACUGAGUAGGUACCAGUCCUAGAGGAUUAACUCCUAGAGGAUUAACACCUUUGUGUGAUACAGGAAGAAAUUGAGGACACUGAUGAAAGUCUUUACAAUUUGACAUGCACAUUCUCAAGAAAUACCAAAUUGUUGUCUCAACCUAUUGCUUUUUAAUGAUGUAAAGAAAGAGAGUGUUUGGCUGAACUAUUCCUGUGUAAUGCCUAUACUCUGCCUGAUAUGCAAACCUGCUGCAGCAUUGCCCUCAUUAAGGGGUCUGGGCAAUCCACUAUGAGCUUUUAAAUGUAAGGUGUAUGCCACCACUGCCAGGUUGAUGCUCUAUUUUGCCCCUGACAACCAUAUAAAAGCUCGCCGAACAGGCACGCGGGUCACCACCUCUCCUUAGGGUCUGGGAUGACCCCAGUUUAGUGGAACAAUAAAUUCCUCUUGCUUUUUCCAUUGAUUCCAGCCCCACAUGGUUCACUCACAGGUCCCCAGUAAGCUAAGGCUCCCGGGAGUCUUACAACCCAACAAGAAGACCAACAGUCUCAAGAAACCUUGACCUUGGAAAUCUCUCAGACUCUGAGCCAGCAACCAGGCAGCAUACACUUGUUGGUCCAAGGUCCCUAACAUAUAUACAGAGGAGGACUGCCUGGCCCGGACUCAGGGAGGGAAGACACACCUAAUCCUCGAGAGACUUGAAGUCCCAGGGAUUGGGGAAGCCUGGCAGGAUGUUGUUGAAUGGUUGUGGGUGUGAGGACACCCUCAUGGAGAUGUACAGAGGGGUCGGGAUAUGGGAUGAGAAACUGUAAGUGGUUGGAAUGGGGGGGUGAUAAUGACUGGAGUAUAAUUAAAGAAUAAACAUAAUUUAAAAAUCUCCAUUCUGGUUGUUUGAAAUAUGUCUUAAAUUCUAAGGGAAACUCUCCCUUAAUCUUACUACAGUCUUAAUUGUCUUUAAUCCUAUCCACUAAAUAUAAUGUGACCUAGGUAACAUAAAGAGAAAGUGCCAACAGAGAAGGUGCACAGAAGUCUGGAGUUCAGAUCCACAUCCUGAUUCCUGGGGUCAGAGCCCUCCCUGGAGGCCGACUCCCCUCUCGCAGGGAAAGUGUCUAGGGUUCUGGGUGUUAGGUCUGUCUUCUGGCUGAGGAUGAAGGCCUGUAGGGACCUUGUUCAAGAAGCUUAGUUACUUCUGCUGCCCACUUACUCUCCUGCAUAACCAGUUCUCAGUGAUCCCAAGAUUCUGGAUGUGCUAGGGCCUGCCUUUGUCCUUUGACCCUGUUGCUGCUAGCACAAGACCCUCUGGAUUUUUUGGAAGUGAUGUUGCAUUCCACUCACCAGUGAUCUCAAGGACCAGAGUGUGCUAGGGGGCCUUCAGCAUGAAGAGUCCUCUGGGGACCUUUGGGCCCUCUGCUGAGAUCUGGCCAAAGAUUGCAUGGGGGUGGGAGAGGGUGGCUCCAACCAGAAGUUAACCUCAGUCGCUGGUCACGCUGCUGUCCUUUGUCCCUGUUCCUACUAUUACAAGACCCUCUGUAUUUUUUGGAACUUAUAUUGCAUUCCACUUACCACUGAUCUCAAGGACCUGGGUGUGCUAGGGUGCCAGCCAUGUGGAGAAUCCUCUGCAGACAUUAGGGCCCUUCACAGAGAUUGCCUCAAACACUCUUACACAAUCACCACCUGCUCAUUUUUCCUUAAAAGAAGUUAAAACAAAUCUCAUCGAUUUCUCUCUAUUCUUUUUUUCUGAUUAUAGCUCUGGGCAGCCUCUACCAUCUACCUCUGUUGUUGCUUUCUGAGCAGCCUGUCUCUUUGUACUGCACCUCCAAGCUUAAACUAUUUGAGGCAGACAGAAAUCUUUUAGAAGGGCUCAUGGUGGAAGAGGGCUCAUGGAAAAUCCAGACCAACAAGGAUGUCUGGAUCAGCUUGGGACAUUUUUCUGAGUCCCAGCUCAUUCCACAAAUCCAAGAAUUAUGCAUACCAUUUUAGCUCAACUUUUGUUUUAGUUGUGAACCUGCACAGCUAGUGAGGACUCAAAUGGCUCAGCAAAACAAGUGAAUCCACUAAGAAACCAAUUUUCCUCAUCCCUUAAUUUCACAUCUUAGCAUUUGGUUUUCAUUUGAGAAUCCCCAAUUAGUUUUUAAUAUUGCAUUCCAUCCUGUAGGUGUGAUGCCUUCUGUAGACUCAGUUGGUUACUCUGCUCUACUAUAGGAUGCCACCUGUUUAAGUUCUUAGCUUAGCAUACAAGUACUUUGGAGUCUGAAAUGAAAGACAAACAGCAUUAUGUAAUAUGCCAAAUCAGCUCAUUGGCUGGGACACUACCAAACAUCCACAUUGCUAUUGGUUCCCCUGUGAUACACCUAAUUUCCUAAAUCUAGAGGCCAUCUUUGCUUCUCCAGAACCAAUCAGAGGAGGGAACACUGGGGUCACUCUUUCCUAGCUUUUAUGUGGCUGGUAUUGUGUCUUUCCCAGCUCUGAAGCUGGCAUCCAAAUCCUUUACUGGCAUGGAGAUCCUCUUUGUUUCCCUUGCCAUGAAUCCAAAAGUUCUGCCUUUGUUGCCUGCCUAGCCAUUGGCUGCUGGCACUUUUGUUACCCAUUUAUAAUCAGCUUGGGGCAGGGAAUCUCAGUGUCCCAGUACAGGAUUAUCAUGAAAUUUGGGAAGAAUUUAACAGGAGUAGCAUAAGAAUCAAUACACAAUUGGGAAUUAGCAGAAAAACAAAUCAAAUCCAAACACCAGGCCCUAAGUAUUGCCUUUUUGUUAUUAUCCUGAAUUUAAUCAUAUGGUGAAACUAAGUUUGUUUCCAAGGAUUAGGUAUUGUGGAGAUCCAACCUCACUUUACUCAUAUUUUCUUUUUAAAACAUAAUGACUGUCUCUAACAAUGCUUUCUGCUUUUCAUUGUGCCCCUCAAAACAUAAGACCUGUACUUUACCACCAAAGAACAAAUCCAUAUGAUUAGUUAAGCUAUAACACCCAUAAUAUAUAACAGAUGACACUGUAAACUACAUAAGCCCCUAUCCCUAAAUCCUGAUUGGUGUGAAAAUAAAGGUAUAAUUUGGAAGGAAUGUUUCUGUCUGAUCCUCCUUUUUUAAAAAAAAUUAAUUUUAUUUCUUCAUUUCUUUAUUGUCUAAUCUUUUUUUUUACAAUCCAUACCUUAUACCCCUUGUCUUAUUCAUGGUUUCUAUUCCUACACAAACAUCAUGACCAAGAAGCAAGUUGGGGAGGAAAGGGUUUAUUUGGCUUACACUUUCAUACUGCUUACUGUUCAUCACCAAGGAAGUCAGGACUGGAACUCAAGCAGGUCAAGAAGCAGGAACUGAUGCAGAGGCCACAGAAGGAUGUUUCUUUACUAGCUUGCUUCACCUGGCUUGCUCAGACUGCUGUCUUAGAGAACCCAAGACUACCAGUGCAGAGAGAUGGUCCCACCCACAAGGGGCCUUUCCCCUUGAUCACUAAUUGAGAAAAUGUCUUACAUCUGGAUCUCAUGGAGGCAUUUCCCAACUGAAGCUCCUUUCUCUGUGAUAACUUCAGCUUGUGUCAAGUUGACACAAAAUUAGCCAGUAUAAUUGACACCUUGUCAAUUUGACACGCAAACACAUCACUAGUAAUGCUCAACUCUUAGUUUCUUAUUCAUGCCCAAGAUAUACACAACUUUGAAAGCCCCACAGACUUUACAUAUUAAAAGUUCAAUGCUUUUAAAAUAUCCAAUAUCCUUCAAAAUCCAAAGCCUUUUACAAUGGAAUCCACUAAAAUACUUGUUUCCUUCAAGAGGGAAAAACAUCAGGGCACAGUCACAAUC